CCUACGGGAGGCAGCAGUGGGGAAUCUUGCGCAAUGGGCGAAAGCCUGACGCAGCCAUGCCGCGUGAAUGAUGAAGGUCUUAGGAUUGUAAAAUUCUUUCACCGAGGACGAUAAUGACGGUACUCGGAGAAGAAGCCCCGGCUAACUUCGUGCCAGCAGCCGCGGUAAUACGAAGGGGGCUAGCGUUGCUCGGAAUUACUGGGCGUAAAGGGAGCGUAGGCGGAUAGUUUAGUCAGAGGUGAAAGCCCAGGGCUCAACCUUGGAAUUGCCUUUGAUACUGGCUAUCUUGAGUACGGAAGAGGUAUGUGGAACUCCGAGUGUAGAGGUGAAAUUCGUAGAUAUUCGGAAGAACACCAGUGGCGAAGGCGACAUACUGGUCCGUUACUGACGCUGAGGCUCGAAAGCGUGGGGAGCAAACAGGAUUAGAUACCCUGGUAGUCCACGCUGUAAACGAUGAGUGCUAGUUGUCGGCAUGNAUNCAUGUCGGUGACGCAGCUAACGACAUUAAGUACACUCCGCCGUCGGGGAGGGUACGGUCGGCGAAGAAGUUAAAACCCGAAAACGAAAGUUAGUACGGCGUGAGACGUGCCGACGGACGACGACGAGGGAGGAGG
RNAcentral lists this ribosomal RNA (614 nucleotides) under uncultured bacterium. Its description in RNAcentral is "bacterial SSU rRNA". The stretch from base 1 to 520 matches the Rfam family "Bacterial small subunit ribosomal RNA", at positions 338 to 873 of the family's 1533-position model. The record is from RNAcentral.